GACCUGGUCGGGCGGUCCGCCUAACGGUGUGUACUGUCUGACUGGGUCUUACCUCUUGGUGAGCCGGCGUGCCCUUUAUUGCGGUGCGUCGGGGAACCAGGACUUUUACCUUGAAAAAAUUAGAGUGUUCAAAGCAGGCUUUUACGCUUGAAUACAUUAGCAUGGAAUAAUGGAAUAGGA
This 180-nucleotide ribosomal RNA is filed under the name uncultured Glomeromycotina. RNAcentral's name for it is "partial small subunit ribosomal RNA". The stretch from base 92 to 180 matches the Rfam family "Eukaryotic small subunit ribosomal RNA", at positions 738 to 827 of the family's 1831-position model. The record is from RNAcentral. Lineage: Eukaryota; Fungi; Glomeromycota.